Long non-coding RNA from Dioscorea cayenensis subsp. rotundata (Guinea yam), 256 nucleotides. RefSeq lists it as uncharacterized. The transcript is spliced from 3 exons. Lineage: Eukaryota; Viridiplantae; Streptophyta; Magnoliopsida; Dioscoreales; Dioscoreaceae. The record is from RefSeq and is a predicted model, not a curated record.
GAGAGGAGAUCAUCAUUGCCAACUUGUCACCAAACCUAGAGGAUCGUUUUAGGGAGUGGUCUUGGAUCUCAUUUUUUUGGGCUUAAGCUAAUAUCAGAUCAAGAGUGGUAGACCGUGGUGGAUCUUGAAAGACUGCCUGUAGAUGUUGCUUGUCCUGUGUAAAAUUGUAGUCCUUGUCAUUGUCUAUCACUAUGUCCCUGUAUUUUGUAUUUUGGACUUCUGUAUCCCGAAUUUGUGUACUUUGUAGAGUUUGUAA